RNAcentral lists this ribosomal RNA (253 nucleotides) under uncultured bacterium. RNAcentral's name for it is "partial 16S ribosomal RNA". It matches the Rfam family "Bacterial small subunit ribosomal RNA", at positions 524 to 776 of the family's 1533-position model. The record is from RNAcentral.
GACAGAGGGUGCAAACGUUGUUCGGAAUUACUGGGCGUAAAGCGAGUGUAGGCGGUUCGGUAAGUCGGAUGUGAAAGCCCCGGGCUCAACCCGGGAAGUGCACUCGAUACUGCCGAGCUAGAGUAUCGGAGAGGUUGGUGGAAUUCUCGGUGUAGAGGUGAAAUUCGUAGAUAUCGAGAGGAACACCGGUGGCGAAGGCGGCCAACCGGACGAAUACUGACGCUGAGACUCGAAAGCGUGGGGAGCAAACAGG